RNAcentral lists this transfer RNA (80 nucleotides) under Bos taurus (domestic cattle). It matches the Rfam family "tRNA". Rfam says of the family: Transfer RNA (tRNA) molecules are approximately 80 nucleotides in length. Their secondary structure includes four short double-helical elements and three loops (D, anti-codon, and T loops). Further hydrogen bonds mediate the characteristic L-shaped molecular structure. tRNAs have two regions of fundamental functional importance: the anti-codon, which is responsible for specific mRNA codon recognition, and the 3' end, to which the tRNAs corresponding amino acid is attached (by aminoacyl-tRNA synthetases). tRNAs cope with the degeneracy of the genetic code in two manners: having more than one tRNA (with a specific anti-codon) for a particular amino acid; and 'wobble' base-pairing, i.e. permitting non-standard base-pairing at the 3rd anti-codon position. RNAcentral also lists the same sequence under 4 other names. The record is from Rfam by way of RNAcentral. Lineage: Eukaryota; Metazoa; Chordata; Mammalia; Artiodactyla; Bovidae.
UUGUUGGUAGUCCAGUGGUUAAGACUCUGCACUUACAAUGCAGCGGGUGUACAAUGCAGGUUUGAUUCCUGGUCAGAGAA